GAUGAACGCUGGCGGCGUGCCUAAUACAUGCAAGUCGAGCGAACGGACGAGAAGCUUGCUUCUCUGAUGUUAGCGGCGGACGGGUGAGUAACACGUGGAUAACCUACCUAUAAGACUGGGAUAACUUCGGGAAACCGUAGCUAAUACCGGAUAAUAUUUUGAACCGCAUGGUUCAAAAGUGAAAGACGGUCUUGCUGUCACUUAUAGAUGGAUCCGCGCUGCAUUAGCUAGUUGGUAAGGUAACGGCUUACCAAGGCAACGAUGCAUAGCCGACCUGAGAGGGUGAUCGGCCACACUGGAACUGAGACACGGUCCAGACUCCUACGGGAGGCAGCAGUAGGGAAUCUUCCGCAAUGGGCGCAAGCCUGACGGAGCAACGCCGCGUGAGUGAUGAAGGCCUUCGGAUCGUAAAACUCUGUUAUUAGGGAAGAACAUAUGUGUAAGUAACUGUGCACAUCUUGACGGUACCUAAUCAGAAAGCCACGGCUAACUACGUG
This 497-nucleotide ribosomal RNA is filed under the name uncultured bacterium. RNAcentral's name for it is "partial 16S ribosomal RNA". It matches the Rfam family "Bacterial small subunit ribosomal RNA", at positions 28 to 507 of the family's 1533-position model. The record is from RNAcentral.